Molecule: ribosomal RNA, 253 nt
Filed under: uncultured bacterium
Lineage: Bacteria
Description: partial 16S ribosomal RNA
Rfam family: Bacterial small subunit ribosomal RNA
Source: RNAcentral
UACGAAGGGGGCUAGCGUUGCUCGGAAUGACUGGGCGUAAAGGGCGCGUAGGCGGAUGGCACAGUCAGAUGUGAAAUUCCAGGGCUUAACCUUGGGGCUGCGUUCGAGACGGGUUGUCUUGAGUGGGGAAGAGGGUCGUGGAAUUCCCAGUGUAGAGGUGAAAUUCGUAGAUAUUGGGAAGAACACCGGUGGCGAAGGCGGCGACCUGGUCCUUUACUGACGCUGAGGCGCGAAAGCGUGGGGAGCAAACAGG